UAGGGAAUAUUGGGCAAUGGGCGCGAGCCUGACCCAGCCAUGCCGCGUGCCGGAUGAAGGCCUUCUGGGUUGUAAACGGCUUUUCUCAGGGAAGAAAAAGGUGAUGCGUCACAAACUGACGGUACCUGAGGAAUAAGCACCGGCUAACUCCGUGCCAGCAGCCGCGGUAAUACGGAGGGUGCAAGCGUUGUCCGGAUUUAUUGGGUUUAAAGGGUGCGUAGGUGGCUUGUUAAGUCCGGGGUGAAAGCCCACAGCUCAACUGUGGAACUGCCCUGGAUACUGGCGAGCUUGAGUCCAGACGAGGUUGGCGGAAUGGAUGCUGUAGCGGUGAAAUGCAUAGAUAGCAUCCAGAACCCCGAUUGCGUAGGCAGCUGACUAGGCUGGUACUGACACUGAGGCACGAAAGCGUGGGGAGCGAACA
This 421-nucleotide ribosomal RNA is filed under the name uncultured Hymenobacter sp. RNAcentral's name for it is "bacterial SSU rRNA". It matches the Rfam family "Bacterial small subunit ribosomal RNA", at positions 355 to 774 of the family's 1533-position model. The record is from RNAcentral. Lineage: Bacteria; Pseudomonadati; Bacteroidota; Cytophagia; Cytophagales; Hymenobacteraceae.